GCUGAAGGCCGCGCGGGCCUCAGCAGAGAGGGAAAACGAGCAGAAAGUCUGACAGGUCAUCAGUAGGAAACUCAGCAGCUGACCCUCUCCUUCGCCAGCACCACAUUCACCUCGUGUACAAAAUUGUCAAAUCCAGUCACCCAACCACCAUCUGUAAAGCACUUGCAGAUAUCUGAGCAUUGCUGUCAACAGGUUGUCACUGGUCGUGAAUUGCUGUCCUCAUGGAAUUCAAUGAAGUAAUGGAAAUUACUGCAAAUACCUUCUACAUCUUUCUGGAGUGUCUUUAUUUUCCCGUACCAUAUAAUAUGGGUCUUUUCUCGAGUUUAAUGGAUGACAACAACCAGGGGACUAAUUUUAGUAUAUAGAUUUUAGUUCAUUUCUUACUUUACAAGCACGUCUUUCCCAUUUUUGAACAAAGUUUUUGGGAAAUCUCCAUUAAUUUUUUUUUAAUUCGAGGCUUUUGCUCUUUGAGGUUUCAGUGAGCAGAGGCUUGAGUGAGAGAAACUGAAAAAGCUGAAUGUUGAUUUUUUUUCCUGUUUAUUUAUUGUUUCCUUCUUUAUAUUUGCACAGUUAGAGCAGUAGAGGUGCCAGGCAGGAUAGCUGAAUGCUCCUCUUGCAGGAUGUGCAAAGGUAAGGAGACUUCCAGUGUCCCUGACAACUUCACCUUCAUGAAGUACAUCCAGUUGCAGCUUCUAACAGUCCAUGCUAAGGAGUUGGAGCUGGAACUGGACGAACUCCAAGAGAGGAUGUUACACCCAGGAGCAGGGCACAGGAAAAUGGAUGACUGUAAGAAAGGGGAAAAGGGUUAAGAAGCCAGUGCUGAGUACCCCUGUGGUCAUCCCUCUCAAUAACAGGUAUAUUACUUUGGAUACUGUUGGAGGAAAGUCACAGCAGUCAGUUCUCUGACACUGAGUUUGACUCUCUGACUCAGAUGGAAAGGGGACAGCAGAGGCACGCUGUGGCAAUAGGCGAUUUGUUAGUUAGGGGAACAGAACGGAGGUUAAGUGGAUGAGAAUGAGAUUCCUGGAUGGUGUGCUGCCUCCUGGGUUCCUGUAUCUGGGACAUCUUGGAUUAAGCCCUCUGCAUUCUUAGGUGGGAGGGUGAGCAGCCAGAAGUUGUGGUCCAUGUAGGUACCAAUGACAUAGGUAGGAAGGGUGCAAGGUUCUGUUAAGUGAGUUCAGGGAGUUAGGUGCUAAGUUAAAUGACAGGACCUCCACUGUUGUGAUUUCAAGACUGCUAUCCAUGCUGUGUGAUAGUGAGGCCAGAACUAGGAAGAUCAUACAGUUUAAUAUAUGGCUAAGGAGUAGGUGUAGGAAGGAAGGUGUAAAAUUUUUGGAUCAUUGGGCUCCCUUCCAGGGAAGGUGCAGCCUGUACAGAAGAGACGAUUUACACCUGAAUUGGAGGGGGACUCAUGUUCUAGUGGGGAAGUUUGCUAGUGUCGCACGCAGGGAAUUUAACUAAAGCUGAAGGACCAUGGGAACCAGAGUGGCAGAACAGAUAUGUGGGGUGGUUGUGGAGAUGUUGUUAAGACCUCAGACAAUCAAAAGGUUGAGCAUGGUGCGACUAAUGACCUGCAGCGUGCAUGGGUUUCCUCCGGGUGCUCCAGUUUCCUCCCACAGUCCAGUGAGGGUUAGUAACAAGUGGGCAUGCUGUGUUGGCACUGGAAGCGUGGUGACACUUACAGGCUGUCCAGCACAUUCCUUGUUGACUCAAUUUGACGUAAGUGAAGCAUUUCACUGUAUAUUUUGAUGUUCCAAUAUAUACAGGACGAAUAAAUAAAUAAAUCUAAUUUUUAAAAUAAAGCUUUCCAGCUGCUGACUUUGUUUCCUGUGGCAAAUAUUUUCUAUAGAGUCCUUCCUGCAUUUAUUCUUCUUUUUCUAAGCUGUAGAGAUUUCAAACUGUCAAGAUUACAGAAUGGCACACACAGGACAGUGUGCAAAGGAUGGAAGAGUUACGCUGAAGGGUGUUCUAACAUUUAACUAUCAUUCAUUCUACAGGGAACUCUGUUUUCGUUGAUGUUUGUGAAGAAAAAGAAUUUCAGGAUGUAUAUUGUAUACAUUUCUCUGACAUUAAAUGCACCUAUUGAAAUCUAAGUUCCUGUCCUGUGCAUCUUCCUCCUGUGAACACCCUUCAGUACCUAGAAGAAACCCACGCGGUCACAGGGAGCAGGUACAAACUCCUUACAGGCAGUGGUGGGAAUUGAACCCUGAUUGGUGAUGGCUGGCCCUGUAAUAUUACAUUCAUCAAUCUGCCACCAGGCAGCGAUGUGUAAAUAGCCACCCGAAGCGCUAUUUAAAUUUGCAUUCAAUUAGCCUGAUAAUUUAGUUCAUCAACUGUAUCCUUAGCAGCUGUUGCUUACCUUCAGACACACCUUCUUGGAGACAGUCCAAAGUAUCUUUCCUCCCAUUGUUAUGCACACUGUAGCUCCCACCCACUCCCCCUCCCAACUCCUGACAACAUUCACCAAAUAAUUCUAUUGCUACCUCAAUGAUACUGAUUGAUCUAGCAUCCUUUAUGAACACCUGCAAUACUCAUCAAUCUUCAUGCCAUCUUAAAAAUUUCUUUCCCCAACCAGUUAGUCUGAUUAUUGUUAUUAUUUAUUACUAUUUAGAGAUGCAGCCUAGUAACAUGAUUUUCUGGCACAACAAGGCCAUGCCAUCCAAUUACACCCAUGUGGCCAAUUGACCUACUAACUUGUACGGCUUUGGAAUGUUGGAGAAAACUGGAGCACCCAGAGUAAACCCACCUGGCCAUGGGGAGAACGUAUAAACUCCUUACAGACACGGGUGGAAUUGAACCCAGGUCGUUGGCACUGUAAAGGCGUUACACUGACCAGCACGCUGCUCUGCUGCCAUUGCCAUUGUAGUUAAACCCUAAUCACUGAACAGCACUGUAAACUCUUUAAACCACUAUUUAUAAUGCUGCUUUACAUUGCAAAUUCAUGCUUAU
Long non-coding RNA from Hypanus sabinus (Atlantic stingray), 2949 nucleotides. RefSeq lists it as uncharacterized. NCBI's taxonomy places the organism in Eukaryota, Metazoa, Chordata, Chondrichthyes, Myliobatiformes, Dasyatidae. The transcript has 3 exons. The record is from RefSeq and is a predicted model, not a curated record.